GUGAUUCUGAAGCAUACGCGCGGAGCUUUAAGCUUUCAGCAAGCUAACGCUAGCGUUUGGUGUUCGGGUGGAGUGGAGUGGAGCUUGUUGUUCGUGUCUCUGUGCGAAGAAACUGUGACGGUAGAAAGUGUGUGUGAGCUGAUGUGAAUUGAGCAGCAUGGAUCAGUGUGAGGACAGAGAGGAGGGAGUCCCUCCCUCUAAAACCACUUGGUGUGGGGAACAUGAGAGCCAGACCAAAGCUCAGAGGAACCAGCCUGGACCUCCACUCAGUGACGAGUCAAAGGGCAUGGAUGAUGAGUUUAAAGAAAACAUCUGUCCUCCUGCAAAGAGG
Molecule: non-coding RNA, 331 nt
Organism: Neolamprologus brichardi
Lineage: Eukaryota; Metazoa; Chordata; Actinopteri; Cichliformes; Cichlidae
Source: RefSeq, a predicted model, not a curated record